RNAcentral lists this ribosomal RNA (95 nucleotides) under uncultured ectomycorrhiza (Lactarius pseudomucidus). RNAcentral's name for it is "partial 28S ribosomal RNA". It matches the Rfam family "Eukaryotic large subunit ribosomal RNA", at positions 1 to 94 of the family's 3401-position model. Lineage: Eukaryota; Fungi; Basidiomycota; Agaricomycetes; Russulales; Russulaceae. The record is from RNAcentral.
UUGACCUCAAAUCGGGUGAGACUACACGCUGAACUUAAGCAUAUCAAUAAGCGGAGGAAAAGAAACUAACAAGGAUUCCCCUAGUAACUGCGAGU